UACGUAGGGACCAAGCGUUGUUCGGAUUUACUGGGCGUAAAGGGCGCGUAGGCGGCGUGGUAAGUCACUUGUGAAAUCUCCGAGCUUAACUCGGAACGGUCAAGUGAUACUGCUGUGCUAGAGUACAGAAGGGGCAAUCGGAAUUCUUGGUGUAGCGGUGAAAUGCGUAGAUAUCAAGAGGAACACCUGAGGUGAAGACGGGUUGCUGGGCUGAUACUGACGCUGAGGCGCGAAAGCUAGGGGAGCAAACGGG
RNAcentral lists this ribosomal RNA (253 nucleotides) under uncultured bacterium. Its description in RNAcentral is "partial 16S ribosomal RNA". It matches the Rfam family "Bacterial small subunit ribosomal RNA", at positions 524 to 776 of the family's 1533-position model. The record is from RNAcentral.